GGGGAUGUAGCUCAGUGGGAGAGCACUUGCCUACUAUGUUGGAGGGCUUUAGUUGGAUCCCUAACACCACCA
RNAcentral lists this transfer RNA (72 nucleotides) under Marmota marmota marmota (Alpine marmot). It matches the Rfam family "tRNA". From Rfam's summary of the family: Transfer RNA (tRNA) molecules are approximately 80 nucleotides in length. Lineage: Eukaryota; Metazoa; Chordata; Mammalia; Rodentia; Sciuridae. The record is from Rfam by way of RNAcentral. RNAcentral also lists the same sequence under 1 other name.